GCCAGCAGCUAGCUUUCUGCAAUUCUCAAAUGAUCGCCCACUGAAACCAAGCAGGGCUGGGCCCGGUCAGUACCUGGAUGGGAGACCACAUGGGAAAGCUAGGUUGCUGCUGGAA
This 115-nucleotide ribosomal RNA is filed under the name Danio rerio (zebrafish). Lineage: Eukaryota; Metazoa; Chordata; Actinopteri; Cypriniformes; Danionidae. The record is from RNAcentral.